This 301-nucleotide ribosomal RNA is filed under the name uncultured bacterium. RNAcentral describes it as "partial 16S ribosomal RNA". It matches the Rfam family "Bacterial small subunit ribosomal RNA", at positions 509 to 807 of the family's 1533-position model. The record is from RNAcentral.
CAGUCGCCACGGUAAUACGAAGGGGGCUAGCGUUGUUCGGAAUUACUGGGCGUAAAGCGCACGUAGGCGGAUAUUUAAGUCAGGGGUGAAAUCCCAGAGCUCAACUCUGGAACUGCCUUUGAUACUGGGUAUCUUGAGUAUGGAAGAGGUGAGUGGAAUUCCGAGUGUUGAGGUGAAAUUCGUAGAUAUUCGGAGGAACACCAGUGGCGAAGGCGGCUCACGGGUCCAUUACUGACGCUGAGGUGCGAAAGCGUGGGGAGCAAACAAGAUUAGAUACCCCUGUAGUCCCUGUCUCUUAUAC